Molecule: long non-coding RNA, 259 nt
Filed under: Elaeis guineensis (African oil palm)
Lineage: Eukaryota; Viridiplantae; Streptophyta; Magnoliopsida; Arecales; Arecaceae
Description: long non-coding RNA (EGUI_LNC058839)
Source: RNAcentral
GUUACUGCAGAAGUCCUGCUGUUGGAGAAGCUCGGACAUUGACAAAGUCCGAAAGAAGUUCGAAGUAAAGUCGUUUGUGGCCGGAAGAAGUCUGGAAGAGAUUCGGAGAAUAGUCGAUCACUGUAGAAAAUUGGCUGAUAGUGAAGCUCAGAGAGCGUUUGGAGCGGUCCGGUAGAUGAAUGGAGGAGCUCAUUAUUGGAGAAGUUUGGAUGAUAUUACGGAAGCUCGGAUGGUCGGGGGAGUUCAGAAAGACGCCACA